Molecule: transfer RNA, 56 nt
Filed under: Planctomycetaceae bacterium
Lineage: Bacteria; Pseudomonadati; Planctomycetota; Planctomycetia; Planctomycetales; Planctomycetaceae
Description: tRNA-OTHER
Source: RNAcentral
AGUGUAAUGGGCGUGGCCGGAUUGUCGAUCCGGUGGUUGCGGGUUCGAGUCCCGUC